This 453-nucleotide ribosomal RNA is filed under the name uncultured Porphyromonadaceae bacterium. RNAcentral describes it as "partial 16S ribosomal RNA". It matches the Rfam family "Bacterial small subunit ribosomal RNA", at positions 341 to 792 of the family's 1533-position model. The record is from RNAcentral. Lineage: Bacteria; Pseudomonadati; Bacteroidota; Bacteroidia; Bacteroidales; Porphyromonadaceae.
ACGGAAGGCAGCAGUGAGGAAUAUUGGUCAAUGGGCGGAAGCCUGAACCAGCCAAGUCGCGUGAAGGAUGAAGGUAUUAUGUAUUGUAAACUUCUUUAGCAGCAGAGAAAUAAGGUGGACGUGUCCACCGAUGCUAGUAUGCUGAGAAUAAGCAUCGGCUAACUCCGUGCCAGCAGCCGCGGUAAUACGGAGGAUGCGAGCGUUAUCCGGAUUUAUUGGGUUUAAAGGGUGCGCAGGCGGUCUUUUAAGUCAGUGGUCAAAUCGGGGUGCUCAACGCCAUCCCGCCAUUGAUACUGGGAGACUUGAUUGCGGUUGAGGUAGGCGGAAUUCGUCGUGUAGCGGUGAAAUGCAUAGAUAUGACGAAGAACACCGAUUGCGUAGGCAGCUUACCAAGCCGUAAAUGACGCUCAUGCACGAAAGUGCGGGGAUCGAACAGGAUUAGAUACCCUGGUA